This 254-nucleotide ribosomal RNA is filed under the name uncultured bacterium. RNAcentral describes it as "partial 16S ribosomal RNA". It matches the Rfam family "Bacterial small subunit ribosomal RNA", at positions 524 to 776 of the family's 1533-position model. The record is from RNAcentral.
CACGUAGGGUGCGAGCGUUGUCCGGAAUUAUUGGGCGUAAAGAGCUCGUAGGCGGUGUGUCGCGUCGGCCGUGAAAACCUGCAGCUUAACUGUGGGCUUGCGGUCGAUACGGGCAUCACUGGAGUUCGGCAGGGGAGACUGGAAUUCCUGGUGUAGCGGUGAAAUGCGCAGAUAUCAGGAGGAACACCGGUGGCGAAGGCGGCAUCCUGGACCGACACUGACGCUGAGGCGCGAAAGCUAGGGUAGCAAACGGG